ACGGGUGAGUAACACGUGGGCAACCUGCCUAUAAGACUGGGAUAACUUCGGGAAACCGGAGCUAAUACCGGAUAAUGCUUUUGAACACAUGUUUGAAAGCUGAAAGAUGGUUUCGGCUAUCACUUAUAGAUGGGCCCGCGGCGCAUUAGCUAGUUGGUGAGGUAACGGCUCACCAAGGCGACGAUGCGUAGCCGACCUGAGAGGGUGAUCGGCCACACUGGGACUGAGACACGGCCCAGACUCCUACGGGAGGCAGCAGUAGGGAAUCUUCCGCAAUGGACGAAAGUCUGACGGAGCAACGCCGCGUGAGUGAUGAAGGUUUUCGGAUCGUAAAACUCUGUUGUUAGGGAAGAACAAGUACCGGAGUAACUGCCGGUACCUUGACGGUACCUAACCAGAAAGCCACGGCUAACUACGUGCCAGCAGCCGCGGUAAUACGUAGGUGGCAAGCGUUGUCCGGAAUUAUUGGGCGUAAAGCGCGCGCAGGCGGUUCCUUAAGUCUGAUGUGAAAGCCCACGGCUCAACCGUGGAGGGUCAUUGGAAACUGGGGAACUUGAGUGCAGAAGAGAAGAGCGGAAUU
Molecule: ribosomal RNA, 580 nt
Filed under: uncultured bacterium
Lineage: Bacteria
Description: bacterial SSU rRNA
Rfam family: Bacterial small subunit ribosomal RNA
Source: RNAcentral